UACGUAGGGACCAAGCGUUGUUCGGAUUUACUGGGCGUAAAGGGCGCGUAGGCGGCCAUUCAAGUCAGCUGUGAAAUCUCCGGGCUUAACUCGGAACGGUCAGCUGAUACUGCUUCGCUAGAGUGCAGAAGGGGCAAUCGGAAUUCUUGGUGUAGCGGUGAAAUGCGUAGAUAUCAAGAGGAACACCUGAGGUGAAGACGGGUUGCUGGGCUGACACUGACGCUGAGUGCGCGAAAGCUAGGGUAGCAAACGGG
Molecule: ribosomal RNA, 254 nt
Filed under: uncultured bacterium
Lineage: Bacteria
Description: partial 16S ribosomal RNA
Rfam family: Bacterial small subunit ribosomal RNA
Source: RNAcentral